RNAcentral lists this ribosomal RNA (764 nucleotides) under Polycauliona luteominia. RNAcentral describes it as "LSU rRNA". It matches the Rfam family "Eukaryotic large subunit ribosomal RNA", at positions 165 to 944 of the family's 3401-position model. The record is from RNAcentral. Lineage: Eukaryota; Fungi; Ascomycota; Lecanoromycetes; Teloschistales; Teloschistaceae.
CGGGCGAGGCGCCGGUCUAAGUCCCUUGGAACGGGGCGUCAUAGAGGGUGAGAAUCCCGUAUGUGACCGGUGAUCGAGCCCAGGUGAAACCCCUUCGACGAGUCGAGUUGUUUGGGAAUGCAGCUCAAAACGGGUGGUAAAUUUCAUCUAAAGCUAAAUACCGGCCAGAGACCGAUAGCGCACAAGUAGAGUGAUCGAAAGAUGAAAAGCACUUUGGAAAGAGAGUCAAACAGUACGUGAAAUUGUUGAAAGGGAAGCGCUUGCAACCAGACCUGCCCGCGGGCGAUCAGCCGUCCUUCGGGGCGGUGCACUCGCCCGCGAUCAGGCCAGCAUCGGUUCGGGCGGUCGGAUAAAGGCCCUGGGAACGUAGCUCCCUUCGGGGAGUGUUAUAGCCCUCGGUGCAAUGCGGCCUGCCCGGACCGAGGACCGCGCUUCGGCUAGGAUGCUGGCGUAAUGGUUGUAAGCGGCCCGUCUUGAAACACGGACCAAGGAGUCGACCAACUAUGCGAGUGUUUGGGCGUCAAACCCACACGCGCAAUGAAAGUGAACGGAGGUGGGAACCCCCUCGCGGGGCGCACCAUCGACCGAUCCAGAUGUCUUCGGAUGGAUUUGAGUACGAGCAUGGCUGGUCGGACCCGAAAGAUGGUGAACUAUGCCUGAAUAGGGUGAAGCCAGAGGAAACUCUGGUGGAGGCUCGCAGCGGUUCUGACGUGCAAAUCGAUCGUCAAAUUUGGGCAUAGGGGCGAAAGACUAAUCGAACCAUC